UAUCGGCGGUCAGACCGGCAGAAGGCGGCGGUCAGACCGGCAGGCAGUUGGCGGUCAUACCGGCGGCGGCAUCAGGGAGCAGAGGCGAUCUCGGAGCGGUCGGACCGGGCAACCUUCAUCGGUCAGACCGGCGACACAAGCUCGGUCAGACCGACAGGAUUACUCCGGUUAGAUUGAUCCAUCAAUUUCGAGGGUAACUUUUAUUUCCGCUAAAAUUUUUCGGUUUUUGAGUAUGUCAACCAUUCACCCCCUCUCUGGUUAGCUUAGUUCUUUCAUUCGAUCCUACAAUAAAACCCUCAUCUCCACCCCUCCUCUCUCUCUCUUCCUCUCUCUCCACCCUCAGCCGCCGCACUCCCAUCAAUUCUCCUCUCCUCUCCGGCGGUGGGUAUCGGCGAUGACAGCAUGCGGCGGCGUCUUCCUCCUCCAUCGCCGCUCGCGGUGCCAGCUUACUCCCCCCUCACCGCUUACCGCGCCGCCUCCGUCUCCGCCAGGCUCGGGAGCAGUGGAUCUGCCGCCGACAGCGCUCCCGGGCCUAGGGCGGCUAGAUCGCGCGGCGGCAGUCCCCGGGCAGCUCGAGGACGGCAUGCGGCUGCAUCGACGGGCCCAACCGCUAGCCGAUUCCAAACCGCGUCGGCCUCGGCAUCCUCGGUGGCGGCGACGGCGGCGCCGGGCCCGACCAGCGCCUGUCCUCAUCCUCUUCCCGCACCAUUGCUCAACUCUCUCUCUAUCCCUCUCUCUGCAGCUCCACCUUCUCUCUCUAGCCCAGCUCAACUCUCUCUCUCUCUCUUUCUCUGCAGCUCCACCUUCUCCUAGGCAGCCAUUCCCAAGGCUACCACCACCACCAGCACGCAGAAGCUCGCCGAAGCUCGCUGCCACGCCGGAUCUGGGACUGGGAGGAUGGGGGGUGGGUGGGUGUGGCCAGGGGCGGAGGGCUCGGUAGGGCGAGGUGUGGCGCUCGCCAUACCUCGCGCCGCCCGCUGACCAACCCCCCCCCCCCCCUCUUCCUCGUGCUCCUCCGCGCAUAGAAGCAGCCGGGUCAGACAGAGUGCCGACGCUGCAUCGUGAGAAGACGGGCGACGGCUGAGACGCGGCGUGGACGCUUCUGCAAAUGCCAGUGCUGGUCCUCACGCUGAUAGCUAGUAGGCCCAUUAGGCUUGUUUAGUGUAAAUGUGACCCAACUUUCCCCAUCUGAGUCAUCUGACCAUCUCCUCCAACCUCCGCCAAUCCCCAUCGGCAGACGGCGGCUGCUGUGGUGCGUGCCGCGUGCGGGAGGGCAGGGUGAGGUGAGGAUGGCGCGGCCACCAGGCUUCCAGAGCUGCGGCUGUGGCAUCCGCUCCGGCAAGGCGGCGGCGCGACCAGCCGCCAUGGCCCAAAGGGGCAGGCGCGCAGCGCAGGAAGAGCAGAGGCAGAGGCAGAGGCAGGGUGGGAUGAAUGGCACAACAGCAGUGCAGGCGUGCAGCACCAAGCGGCGACAGCAAGCAAGCGGCAAGCCAACAAGCCAAGCAUCCAUCACUCCAUCAACAAGUUCUACAUAUGUGAACAUUAAUCAAUCUUUGGUACUAUACGUAUGAACAUAAGUUGCUGCGCAUACAAUACAGGUGAGGAUUCUACCAUUAAAUGCACAAUGACACAAUUUGAGGAUCAGUUUAGCACUAUAAAACCUGAUGGGAUUCAAGUCAGAUGCCAUAAGCAAUUUUGCAUCAUCAGAUGCUCAACAGUACCCGUGCCCCCGCGCGCCGUCGUCGCCGCCGCCGUCGUCGCCGCCGCCGCCGUCGAGACCGAGGGAGCCGCGGAUCCAGGUGAAGGCCAAGACCCGCAAGACCUCGAGCAAG
Non-coding RNA from Oryza sativa Japonica Group (Japanese rice), 1832 nucleotides. The record is from RefSeq and is a predicted model, not a curated record. Lineage: Eukaryota; Viridiplantae; Streptophyta; Magnoliopsida; Poales; Poaceae.